CUACGGGGUGCUGCAGUGAGGAAUAUUGCACAAUGGGGGGAACCCUGAUGCAGCAACGCCGCGUGGAGGAUGGCGCAUUUCGGUGUGUAAACUCCUUUUAUAUGUCAAGAAAAUGACGGUAGCAUAUGAAUAAGCACCGGCUAACUCCGUGCCAGCAGCCGCGGUAAUACGGAGGGUGCAAGCGUUACUCGGAAUCACUGGGCGUAAAGGACGCGUAGGCGGGUUGGAAAGUCAGGUGUGAAAGCCUACAGCUUAACUGUAGAACUGCACUUGAAACUUCUAAUCUAGAGUAUGGGAGGGGGAGAUGGAAUUAGUGGUGUAGGGGUAAGAUCCGUAGAUAUCACUAGGAAUACCUAAAGCGAAGGCGAUCUCCUGGAACAUUACUGACGCUAAGGCGUGAAAGCGUGGGGAGCAAACAGGAUUAGAUACCCUCGUAGUC
RNAcentral lists this ribosomal RNA (439 nucleotides) under uncultured bacterium. RNAcentral describes it as "partial 16S ribosomal RNA". It matches the Rfam family "Bacterial small subunit ribosomal RNA", at positions 339 to 795 of the family's 1533-position model. The record is from RNAcentral.